GGGAGAGUAGGUUAUUGCCAGGGUUUUUAUUUUUAUACUUUAAACUUUGAUUUUAUUUUUAUGUUUUUUAAAUAUUGGUGUUUUUGAAUGUGUUGUUUAAAUAACAUAAAAAAUAAAAUAUAUAUUGACAUGUAUUAAACAAAGAUAUAUAUUAUUUUAUGUUGUAUAAAUAAAUUGGCAAAAUAGAGAUGGAAGAUAAAAAUAUGGUCAAAGUAAUAAGAGUCUAUGGUGAAUGCCU
RNAcentral lists this unclassified non-coding RNA (238 nucleotides) under Borreliella burgdorferi (Lyme disease spirochete). Lineage: Bacteria; Pseudomonadati; Spirochaetota; Spirochaetia; Spirochaetales; Borreliaceae. The record is from RNAcentral.